Molecule: long non-coding RNA, 1946 nt
Organism: Panthera uncia (snow leopard)
Lineage: Eukaryota; Metazoa; Chordata; Mammalia; Carnivora; Felidae
Exons: 2
Source: RefSeq, a predicted model, not a curated record
CACCCCCCCUCGCUUGGCAUUUCUGUUCCCCCGGAUAUCUGCCGGGCUCCUUCCUUCACGACUGCCCCGCCACCUUAUCAGAAAGGCCUUCCCCCGCCACCUUGUGCAAAAUGAAAUAGCGCCGGCUCUCCCGGGCCGCGCUCCCCCUUAUCGCGGAGCACCACCUGGCCUGCAACACGUUCAUUUGUUCUUUGCGUUCUGAGCCCCCCCCACCCACACACACCCCCACCCCCCUGCGCCCCAGCUGGGAUGCUGUGGGGUGGACGCUUUGUCUGUCUGCCCCGUCCUGCCCCACUGCCUGGCAGGUGAUGGUUGCUCUCAGCAAGCACUUGAGAAUGAACGGAGGCUGGGUGCUGUGCUAAGGGCCUGACACACGGGGCUCCAUUUCCCAGAUCGGAAAGGCGCCCGGAGAGGUCAAGUCAACAGAUCCACGUUCGUGCUUUCUAACGAAGACGGAGACAUGAUGAGCGAGUGAAGGAUGGAUUAUCGCAGCUCUAGAGCAGAAGCCCUUCUGUUCUUGCUAACGGAUGCACCCCCAGCACUGGGACAGUGUCCCGCACAUACUUCAUAGGCACUAAAGACGAAGUAAUCAACUCGCUUGCUACAGCAUUAAGUAAUUAAUCAAGUCUCUCAUGGAGGAAUGAAUAUACUUCGACGAAUUCCCAAAGGUCUUCAACAGCCAUCAGCUUUGGGGACUGUCUUAUUUCUAUUGACUUUGUGGUUCUUGGCAACUGACCAGUUAACUAAAACCUGGGGUCUGCCCUGGCCGGAUGCCCCCACCCACUUCCUUGACACCCCUCCUCCCUCAAAGAGGCUCAUUCGCCUUGACCAUCUCACCCGAUCUAACUUGCAUUUAUUACGAACUCCUCAAGGUCCAAAUGUGCGUGAUGCUUACCCAAGACAGGCCCAAGGACAUGGCGGGAGUGACCUUGCGUCACAGCUGGCUGUCACCUGACCAGAGGCAGAGGAGAUGAAAGGCUGUCUGAGACCCGUGACCCGUGAUCUCGCCCAAGGGGAGUCACUUCCGGUGGGGGGGGGUGGCCGGGGGCAGGUUUGUGGGGGUGACCUAAGGCGACCUAAGAAGCAGGAGAAAAAGCUUCAUCGCACUUGAGAGAAAGACCUUGCCAGGAUGAAGAAAGGCAGCAAAAACGCAGAAGAGAAAGAAAGAUGAAAAGGAGUAAAAUGUUUUCACCGUGGAUGCCGGAGGGAUCCCGUGAAAACCAAGUCAGAUGACGUUCGUGCUCCGCUCCACAGUCUCCCGUGACCGAAAGACGGAGAGUGAGUGUUGGCAAAGAGGCGGGGACGCUGGUGGCCUCAGACACUGCUGGGGGAGGGGGGUGUAACAUGGUUCGGCCCCCGGGGAAGCCAUCCCUCAGAAGGCUGGACACAGACUCACCUUAAGACCCGGCUGUUCCAGUCUGGGGCACACACAAGAGAAAUGAGAUCCGCGUCCACACAAACACCCGUGCCCCAAUGGCCCUUACAGCGCUGCCCGCAACAGCCCCAAGGUGGAGGUGGCCCCCGUGUCCCUCAGCUGACGAAUAGGUAAAUGAGAGGGGCGGUAUCACCCCACAGGACGUUAUUUGGCACGAAAAGGAAAACAGUGCUGCUACGGGCCGCAGUGCGGGUGAACUUUGAAAACACGAUGCCAAGUGAAAGAAGCGUGUUAACAAAACACCACAUAGUGUUGGGUUCCGUUCACAGGAAAUGUCCAGAAGGGGCAACUCCACCAGGCAGAAAGCAGAUUCGUGGUGGUCUGGGAUCAGGGCGGGGGGGGGGGGGGGGGGGGAUGAUGAUAUCUUUGGGAUGAUGACAAUGUCCUAAAAUUGACUGUGGUGGUGUUUGCACGACCCCGUGCAAUAGACUAAAAUCUGGUGGGUUGUGCCCAUCAAAUGAGUGCAUUGUAUGCUACAUGAGCUAGCUGUCAUUAAAAAAAAUCAAACAUU